This is a long non-coding RNA of Suricata suricatta (meerkat), 413 nucleotides long. RefSeq lists it as uncharacterized. The transcript has 2 exons. NCBI's taxonomy places the organism in Eukaryota, Metazoa, Chordata, Mammalia, Carnivora, Herpestidae. The record is from RefSeq and is a predicted model, not a curated record.
UCAAGUGCCACAGAGGGCGUCAGCAUGCACCUGGGCAUAGGCACUUUUGAGAGGGAAGCUUCGGAAGAGUGUUGGACCAAGUAGGAGGAAGUGAAAGCUUUGGGCAUAGCUGAUGCUAUGGUCUGGGAGUCAGAGGUGCUGGCUCUGAAGGAGAUAGCAGGUGGGCAGUGGCCUAUGGACUCCUAGUUCCGUCUCUCAAGUCUACAAGCAUGCCUUUGGUGUUCUCUUAAAGUACCCGAAGACCAAGGUGUUACCUCACCAAGAAGACCACUCUCCUCUCAAAGACUGCCCCAUGAAGUCUCCAUGCACAAGGAAAUGUUUCUGCCAUUAAGUAGACUGGAAUUACCCAGAGAGUUAAAAAAAAUACUGCUGCCUGUAUCCCAGUCAAGAAUAAUUAGAUCAGUAUCUCUGGA